UUUAAUUCGAUGCAACGCGAAGAACCUUACCACUCCUUGACAUGGGGACUAGAUCCUUCUUAACGGAAGGGCGCAGUUAGGCUGGGUCCCACACAGGUGCUGCAUGCCUGUCGUCAGCUCGUGUCGUGAGAUGUUGGGUUAAGUCCGGCAACGAGCGUAACCCUCAUUCUUAGUUGCCAGCGGGUAAUGCCGGGCACUUUAAGAAAACUGCCGGUGGUAAACUGGAGGAAGGUGGGGAUGUUGUCAAGUCAACUCGGCC
Molecule: ribosomal RNA, 259 nt
Filed under: uncultured Anaplasma sp.
Lineage: Bacteria; Pseudomonadati; Pseudomonadota; Alphaproteobacteria; Rickettsiales; Anaplasmataceae
Description: partial 16S ribosomal RNA
Rfam family: Bacterial small subunit ribosomal RNA
Source: RNAcentral